This 172-nucleotide microRNA precursor is filed under the name Gossypium raimondii (Peruvian cotton). RNAcentral's name for it is "miR8730 stem-loop (gra-MIR8730)". The record is from miRBase by way of RNAcentral. Lineage: Eukaryota; Viridiplantae; Streptophyta; Magnoliopsida; Malvales; Malvaceae.
UUGAAUGAGACUAAGAGAUUGGGAUUUGGUAGGAUGAUAUUGAAGAACCUAAUUUAACGUAUCAAAUUACGACAAACCACUAUCAAAUUACGUCAUCUUUAUCCCUUUUUAAUGAGAGGAUGACAAAUCAAAUUUUUCCUCCUAAAUUUUAGUACUUUUAGCUGGAUUUGAA